UCCAUUUUGAAUUGCAUCCCAUUUCAUUCAUUUUCGUAGCUGACGAGCCAGCAAGCGAAUCAAUGUCCACAACAGGAACUCAAUAUCCAGGUCAAACAACGAUGAAUGCCCGCCACCACAGAAGCUUAAGGAUGUACAUAUACCUCAGUGGUGCAGUUGCUGUGUUCGCUGUUAGUUUGGUAGUGGCGUUUGUUUGCUGGCGAAAACAACGGAGAAACCGAACAAAUUGCUGUACACUUGGCAAAGAACGAGGCGGGGCUCAAAUAAUUCCUUUAGGUCCACAAAACGAGGACAUUGAAACAGCAGCAAGUUUGCAGGCCUAGACAUGCACUCAGAAGUGCGGCUGCAACCUAGCCAUAGAACCUUUUUCUAACUUCUCUGCCGUUUCAUGAGGCCAUCUGAUGAUAUGUAUGUGGUCCGAGUAUACUGCUCGUGUGUAUUAACCAGCCUUGGUUGCAUUUUGGCCCUUAUCUAACUUAUUAUGUAGUUUUGCUUCAUUAAAUGACUCGAUAGCGUCCCUGAACUGGGGCAUUAUAAUCAAUUGAUUAAUGAAAAAAAAAGAAAAUGAAGACGGAAAUUCAUUAAUGUGCAAGUAAUAGCAGGUAGCCUCGAACUAUCCAAACAAUAAAGUUUUAAACUAAGUCUACUUUA
Stylophora pistillata is the source of this 651-nucleotide long non-coding RNA. The record is from RefSeq and is a predicted model, not a curated record. NCBI's taxonomy places the organism in Eukaryota, Metazoa, Cnidaria, Anthozoa, Scleractinia, Pocilloporidae.